UUGUAUAAGAAACAAUUAACAACCACAUAAUAGAGAAAUAUCAAAAUUAAAGUUCACUUAGAAUGUGGUCAAACAACAACUGAGGGAAUAGUUGCGGUGCACUUUCAAAUAUUUUAUAUUUUUUUCUUUUAUGGCCUAAGAUCGCAAAGAAACCACACUAUACAGCACCAUAUGUAAAAAGUUAGGGUUUGAUUCUUUCCAUAAGAUAUGACCCAAAUUUGGGCAUACGCAAAAUACUUGUGAUGGCGAACCAAUUGUUCUUGGAGCCAAAGAACAAAAGUAUUUUCUCUUAUUCUUUUUCUUUACUUGCAGACCAAGUAUUUUCCCUAUAAAUAUUGUUCUUCUUCCUUCAUUUAAAUCAUCCCCCAAUUUUUAGAAACUCUUCUUUGUAAGUGAUAACAGUGAGGUAUUCGUUUGGAAUAUAUUUUUGGGAUUAAUCAAAGUUCUAUCUCUAAUUUGGUACUCCCUUUUGUGUACAGGUUGUUAGAAUAAAUUUGCUCCUCUCCGCUUGUUGAUUGUAAAGGGAAGAGCGAUUACGAGGGGGAGAAAUGCCGCAUUUGAAGCAUUCAAAUAAGCGAUCAACGUCGUCCAUUAGGCAGCAGCAGCAGCGGCAGGGAGGAAGAUCAUUACAUUCAAGAGUUCAUCGACUUGGAGCGUGAAUUGAGUCCAAUUUAACCUUCACAUAACCAGUCAAAGCACAUUCUCAACUAAAAUCGCUUGAAUUACAAAGCAGGAAAACUUUAGCAAAAACUAAAAAUUCGACAUCGAUUUGAAUAGAUUGAAAACAAAAUACCUUCAA
Solanum pennellii is the source of this 799-nucleotide long non-coding RNA. RefSeq lists it as uncharacterized. NCBI's taxonomy places the organism in Eukaryota, Viridiplantae, Streptophyta, Magnoliopsida, Solanales, Solanaceae. The record is from RefSeq and is a predicted model, not a curated record. The transcript has 2 exons.